GUAUGCAUUAUUUUGGUCAAUCAACUAGACAUGCCAGCAUGGGAUUAACAUUGACCUACAAUUUUAGAGACUUAAUUAUAUACAAGUGUGGUACCUGUUAUAGUGACAACACAUAACCCAACACAGGCCACAUGUGAAUUUGUGAAGUCAUCAAAACUACAAGCAAAACUAAUACAAAUAAAUAUGAAGACCUACUCUAAUCUUCGAGGAAUCACUAUUGGAAACAUAGAAACACAGCUAACCCUGUUAGAAUUGCGGCUAACCAAUCGGAGUUAAAUCGUCUAAAAUAGAAAAAAAAAUCGCGAGGAAUAAGUAUCAUGUACAUACAUGGUCAUGUCGGCCUGAAGGAAUGGUGGUCGAGUCUUG
RNAcentral lists this long non-coding RNA (366 nucleotides) under Brachypodium distachyon (stiff brome). RNAcentral's name for it is "long non-coding RNA (BDIS_LNC005817)". The record is from RNAcentral. Lineage: Eukaryota; Viridiplantae; Streptophyta; Magnoliopsida; Poales; Poaceae.